GCUUUUGCACUGUGGCAGUAUUGCAGCCAAUGAGGUUUACCCGAGGCACAAUUAUUUCUAAUUGAAAACUUUUCCUAAAAUU
RNAcentral lists this small nuclear RNA (82 nucleotides) under Vicugna pacos (alpaca). RNAcentral describes it as "U4 spliceosomal RNA (ENSVPAG00000015565.1)". It matches the Rfam family "U4 spliceosomal RNA", at positions 1 to 82 of the family's 138-position model. Rfam says of the family: U4 small nuclear RNA (U4 snRNA) is a component of the major U2-dependent spliceosome. The structure of U4 snRNA from yeast and human has been reported. The record is from RNAcentral. Lineage: Eukaryota; Metazoa; Chordata; Mammalia; Artiodactyla; Camelidae.